Molecule: ribosomal RNA, 468 nt
Filed under: uncultured bacterium
Lineage: Bacteria
Description: partial 16S ribosomal RNA
Rfam family: Bacterial small subunit ribosomal RNA
Source: RNAcentral
GACGAACGCUGGCGGCGUGCCUAACACAUGCAAGUCGAACGGACAGGCCCUGCUUUUGUGGGGUGCUCGAGUGGCGAACGGGUGAGUAACACGUGAGUAACCUGCCCUUGUCUUUGGGAUAACUUCAGGAAACUGGGGCUAAUACCGGAUAGGAGCUCCUGCUGCAUGGUGGGGGUUGGAAAGUUUCGGCGGUUGGGGAUGGACUCGCGGCUUAUCAGCUUGUUGGUGGGGUAGUGGCUUACCAAGGCUUUGACGGGUAGCCGGCCUGAGAGGGUGACCGGCCACAUGGGGACUGAGAUACGGCCCAGACUCCUACGGGAGGCAGCAGUGGGGAAUAUUGCACAAUGGGCGGAAGCCUGAUGCAGCAACGCCGCGUGCGGGAUGACGGCCUUCGGGUUGUAAACCGCUUUCGCCUGUGACGAAGCGUGAGUGACGGUAAUGGGUAAAGAAGCACCGGCUAACUACGUG